GAGUUUGAUCCUGGCUCAGGACGAACGCUGGCGGCGUGCUUAACACAUGCAAGUCGAGCGAUGAAGCUUCCUUCGGGGAGUGGAUUAGCGGCGGACGGGUGAGUAACACGUGGGUAACCUGCCUCAAAGUGGGGGAUAGCCUUCCGAAAGGAAGAUUAAUACCGCAUAAUAUAAGAGAAUCGCAUGAUUUUCUUAUCAAAGAUUUAUUGCUUUGAGAUGGACCCGCGGCGCAUUAGCUAGUUGGUAAGGUAACGGCUUACCAAGGCAACGAUGCGUAGCCGACCUGAGAGGGUGAUCGGCCACAUUGGAACUGAGACACGGUCCAGACUCCUACGGGAGGCAGCAGUGGGGAAUAUUGCGCAAUGGGGGAAACCCUGACGCAGCAACGCCGCGUGGGUGAUGAAGGUCUUCGGAUUGUAAAGCCCUGUUUUCUAGGACGAUAAUGACGGUACUAGAGGAGGAAGCCACGGCUAACUACGUGCCAGCAGCCGCGGUAAUACGUAGGUGGCGAGCGUUGUCCGGAUUUACUGGGCGUAAAGGGUGCGUAGGCGGAUGUUUAAGUGGGAUGUGAAAUCCCCGGGCUUAACCUGGGGGCUGCAUUCCAAACUGGAUAUCUAGAGUGCAGGAGAGGAAAGCGGAAUUCCUAGUGUAGCGGUGAAAUGCGUAGAGAUUAGGAAGAACACCAGUGGCGAAGGCGGCUUUCUGGACUGUAACUGACGCUGAGGCACGAAAGCGUGGGUAGCAAACAGGAUUAGAUACCCUGGUAGUCCACGCCGUAAACGAUGGAUACUAGGUGUAGGGGGUAUCAACUCCCCCUGUGCCGCAGUUAACACAAUAAGUAUCCCGCCUGGGGAGUACGGUCGCAAGAUUAAAACUCAAAGGAAUUGACGGGGGCCCGCACAAGCAGCGGAGCAUGUGGUUUAAUUCGAAGCAACGCGAAGAACCUUACCUGGACUUGACAUCCCUUGCAUAGCCUAGAGAUAGGUGAAGCCCUUCGGGGCAAGGAGACAGGUGGUGCAUGGUUGUCGUCAGCUCGUGUCGUGAGAUGUUAGGUUAAGUCCUGCAACGAGCGCAACCCUUGUUAUUAGUUGCUACCAUUAAGUUGAGCACUCUAAUGAGACUGCCUGGGUAACCAGGAGGAAGGUGGGGAUGACGUCAAAUCAUCAUGCCCCUUAUGUCCAGGGCUACACACGUGCUACAAUGGUAGGUACAAUAAGACGCAAGACCGUGAGGUGGAGCAAAACUUAUAAAACCUAUCUCAGUUCGGAUUGUAGGCUGCAACUCGCCUACAUGAAGCUGGAGUUGCUAGUAAUCGCGAAUCAGAAUGUCGCGGUGAAUACGUUCCCGGGCCUUGUACACACCGCCCGUCACACCAUGAGAGCUGGUAACACCCGAAGUCCGUGAGGUAACCGUAAGGAGCCAGCGGCCGAAGGUGGGAUUAGUGAUUGGGGUGAAGUCGUAACAAGGUAGCCGUAGGAGAACCUGCGGCUGGAUCACC
RNAcentral lists this ribosomal RNA (1498 nucleotides) under Clostridium botulinum. Its description in RNAcentral is "bacterial SSU rRNA". It matches the Rfam family "Bacterial small subunit ribosomal RNA". The record is from RNAcentral. Lineage: Bacteria; Bacillati; Bacillota; Clostridia; Eubacteriales; Clostridiaceae.